RNAcentral lists this ribosomal RNA (253 nucleotides) under uncultured bacterium. RNAcentral's name for it is "partial 16S ribosomal RNA". It matches the Rfam family "Bacterial small subunit ribosomal RNA", at positions 524 to 776 of the family's 1533-position model. The record is from RNAcentral.
UACGUAGGUGGCAAGCGUUGUCCGGAUUUACUGGGCGUAAAGAGCGCGCAGGCGGUCGUUCAAGUCGCGUGUGAAAGCCCCCGGCUCAACUGGGGAGGGUCACGCGAUACUGAUCGACUGGAAGGCAGGAGAGGGUAGUGGAAUUCCCGGUGUAGUGGUGAAAUGCGUAGAUAUCGGGAGGAACACCAGUGGCGAAGGCGACUACCUGGCCUGUUCUUGACGCUGAGGAGCGAAAGCAUGGGGAGCGAACAGG